CCCUUAGAUGUUCUGGGCCGCACGCGUGCUACACUGAGUGGAUCAGCGGGUCAGGUUGCGCGAAAGCGUUUCCUAAUCUUUAAAUCCGCUCGUGAUGGGGAUUGACGGUUGCAAUUUUCUGUCAUGAACGAGGAAUACCUUGUAAGCGCGGGUCAUCAUCCCGCGCUGAAUACGUCCCUGCCCUUUGUACACACCGCCCGUCGCUCCUACCGAUUGAGUGGUCCGGUGAAUUAUUCGGACCGGACGGCCUGCAGUUCGCUGUGGGACGUUGUGGAAAGUCUUGUGAACCUUAUCACUUAGAGGAAGGAGAAGUCGUAACA
This 320-nucleotide ribosomal RNA is filed under the name uncultured eukaryote. Its description in RNAcentral is "partial 18S ribosomal RNA". It matches the Rfam family "Eukaryotic small subunit ribosomal RNA", at positions 1470 to 1796 of the family's 1831-position model. The record is from RNAcentral.